GAUGAACGCUGGCGGCGUGCCUAAUACAUGCAAGUCGAGCGAACAGACGAGGAGCUUGCUCCUAUGACGUUGGCGGCGGAGGGGAGAGUAACACGUGGAUAACCUACCUCUAAGACUGGGGAAACUUCGGGAGACGGGAGCUAAAACCGGAAGAUAUAUUGAACGGCGUGGUGCCAUAGUGAAAGAAGGUUUUGGUGUCAGUAAUAGCUGGAUACGCUCCGGAUUCGGUAGUUGGUAAGGUAAAGGCUUACCAAAGCAGGGAUGCGUAACCGGCCUCAGAGGGAGAACGGCUACACUGGAACGGAGACACGGCCCACACACUUACGGUAGGCAGCAGUACGGAAUCUUCCGCAAGGCGGCAAAGCGGGACGGUGCAACGCCGCGUGAGGGCUGAAGGUCCUCUGAUCGUAAAGCUCUGUUAUUCGUAAAGAUCAAAUGUGUAAGUAACUAUGCACGUCUUGACGGUACCGAAUCAGAAAGCUCCGGCUAACUACGUG
This 497-nucleotide ribosomal RNA is filed under the name uncultured bacterium. Its description in RNAcentral is "partial 16S ribosomal RNA". It matches the Rfam family "Bacterial small subunit ribosomal RNA", at positions 28 to 507 of the family's 1533-position model. The record is from RNAcentral.